This 497-nucleotide ribosomal RNA is filed under the name uncultured bacterium. Its description in RNAcentral is "partial 16S ribosomal RNA". It matches the Rfam family "Bacterial small subunit ribosomal RNA", at positions 28 to 507 of the family's 1533-position model. The record is from RNAcentral.
GAUGAACGCUGGCGGCGUGCCUAAUACAUGCAAGUCGAGCGAACAGACGAGGAGCUUGCUCCUCUGACGUUAGCGGCGGACGGGUGAGUAACACGUGGAUAACCUACCUAUAAGACUGGGAUAACUUCGGGAAACCGGAGCUAAUACCGGAUAAUAUAUUGAACCGCAUGGUUCAAUAGCGAAAGACGGUUUUGCUGUCACUUAUAGAUGGAUCCGCGCCGCAUUAGCUAGUUGGUAAGGUAACGGCUUACCAAGGCAACGAUGCGUAGCCGACCUGAGAGGGUGAUCGGCCACACUGGAACUGAGACACGGUCCAGACUCCUACGGGAGGCAGCAGUAGGGAAUCUUCCGCAAUGGGCGAAAGCCUGACGGAGCAACGUCGCGUGAGUGAUGAAGGUCUUCGGAUCGUAAAACUCUGUUAUUAGGGAAGAACAAAUGUGUAAGUAACUAUGCACGUCUUGACGGUACCUAAUCAGAAAGCCACGGCUAACUACGUG